Molecule: ribosomal RNA, 2479 nt
Filed under: Staphylococcus aureus
Lineage: Bacteria; Bacillati; Bacillota; Bacilli; Caryophanales; Staphylococcaceae
Description: partial 23S ribosomal RNA
Rfam family: Bacterial large subunit ribosomal RNA
Source: RNAcentral
AGAUUAAGUUAUUAAGGGCGCACGGUGGAUGCCUUGGCACUAGAAGCCGAUGAAGGACGUUACUAACGACGAUAUGCUUUGGGGAGCUGUAAGUAAGCUUUGAUCCAGAGAUUUCCGAAUGGGGAAACCCAGCAUGAGUUAUGUCAUGUUAUCGAUAUGUGAAUACAUAGCAUAUCAGAAGGCACACCCGGAGAACUGAAACAUCUUAGUACCCGGAGGAAGAGAAAGAAAAUUCGAUUCCCUUAGUAGCGGCGAGCGAAACGGGAAGAGCCCAAACCAACAAGCUUGCUUGUUGGGGUUGUAGGACACUCUAUACGGAGUUACAAAGGACGACAUUAGACGAAUCAUCUGGAAAGAUGAAUCAAAGAAGGUAAUAAUCCUGUAGUCGAAAAUGUUGUCUCUCUUGAGUGGAUCCUGAGUACGACGGAGCACGUGAAAUUCCGUCGGAAUCUGGGAGGACCAUCUCCUAAGGCUAAAUACUCUCUAGUGACCGAUAGUGAACCAGUACCGUGAGGGAAAGGUGAAAAGCACCCCGGAAGGGGAGUGAAAUAGAACCUGAAACCGUGUGCUUACAAGUAGUCAGAGCCCGUUAAUGGGUGAUGGCGUGCCUUUUGUAGAAUGAACCGGCGAGUUACGAUUUGAUGCAAGGUUAAGCAGUAAAUGUGGAGCCGUAGCGAAAGCGAGUCUGAAUAGGGCGUUUAGUAUUUGGUCGUAGACCCGAAACCAGGUGAUCUACCCUUGGUCAGGUUGAAGUUCAGGUAACACUGAAUGGAGGACCGAACCGACUUACGUUGAAAAGUGAGCGGAUGAACUGAGGGUAGCGGAGAAAUUCCAAUCGAACCUGGAGAUAGCUGGUUCUCUCCGAAAUAGCUUUAGGGCUAGCCUCAAGUGAUGAUUAUUGGAGGUAGAGCACUGUUUGGACGAGGGGCCCCUCUCGGGUUACCGAAUUCAGACAAACUCCGAAUGCCAAUUAAUUUAACUUGGGAGUCAGAACAUGGGUGAUAAGGUCCGUGUUCGAAAGGGAAACAGCCCAGACCACCAGCUAAGGUCCCAAAAUAUAUGUUAAGUGGAAAAGGAUGUGGCGUUGCCCAGACAACUAGGAUGUUGGCUUAGAAGCAGCCAUCAUUUAAAGAGUGCGUAAUAGCUCACUAGUCGAGUGACACUGCGCCGAAAAUGUACCGGGGCUAAACAUAUUACCGAAGCUGUGGAUUGUCCUUUGGACAAUGGUAGGAGAGCGUUCUAAGGGCGUUGAAGCAUGAUCGUAAGGACAUGUGGAGCGCUUAGAAGUGAGAAUGCCGGUGUGAGUAGCGAAAGACGGGUGAGAAUCCCGUCCACCGAUUGACUAAGGUUUCCAGAGGAAGGCUCGUCCGCUCUGGGUUAGUCGGGUCCUAAGCUGAGGCCGACAGGCGUAGGCGAUGGAUAACAGGUUGAUAUUCCUGUACCACCUAUAAUCGUUUUAAUCGAUGGGGGGACGCAGUAGGAUAGGCGAAGCGUGCGAUUGGAUUGCACGUCUAAGCAGUAAGGCUGAGUAUUAGGCAAAUCCGGUACUCGUUAAGGCUGAGCUGUGAUGGGGAGAAGACAUUGAGUCUUCGAGUCGUUGAUUUCACACUGCCGAGAAAAGCCUCUAGAUAGAAAAUAGGUGCCCGUACCGCAAACCGACACAGGUAGUCAAGAUGAGAAUUCUAAGGUGAGCGAGCGAACUCUCGUUAAGGAACUCGGCAAAAUGACCCCGUAACUUCGGGAGAAGGGGUGCUCUUUAGGGUUAACGCCCAGAAGAGCCGCAGUGAAUAGGCCCAAGCGACUGUUUAUCAAAAACACAGGUCUCUGCUAAACCGUAAGGUGAUGUAUAGGGGCUGACGCCUGCCCGGUGCUGGAAGGUUAAGAGGAGUGGUUAGCUUCUGCGAAGCUACGAAUCGAAGCCCCAGUAAACGGCGGCCGUAACUAUAACGGUCCUAAGGUAGCGAAAUUCCUUGUCGGGUAAGUUCCGACCCGCACGAAAGGCGUAACGAUUUGGGCACUGUCUCAACGAGAGACUCGGUGAAAUCAUAGUACCUGUGAAGAUGCAGGUUACCCGCGACAGGACGGAAAGACCCCGUGGAGCUUUACUGUAGCCUGAUAUUGAAAUUCGGCACAGCUUGUACAGGAUAGGUAGGAGCCUUUGAAACGUGAGCGCUAGCUUACGUGGAGGCGCUGGUGGGAUACUACCCUAGCUGUGUUGGCUUUCUAACCCGCACCACUUAUCGUGGUGGGAGACAGUGUCAGGCGGGCAGUUUGACUGGGGCGGUCGCCUCCUAAAAGGUAACGGAGGCGCUCAAAGGUUCCCUCAGAAUGGUUGGAAAUCAUUCAUAGAGUGUAAAGGCAUAAGGGAGCUUGACUGCGAGACCUACAAGUCGAGCAGGGUCGAAAGACGGACUUAGUGAUCCGGUGGUUCCGCAUGGAAGGGCCAUCGCUCAACGGAUAAAAGCUACCCCGGGGAUAA